Molecule: small RNA, 265 nt
Filed under: Papio anubis (olive baboon)
Lineage: Eukaryota; Metazoa; Chordata; Mammalia; Primates; Cercopithecidae
Description: Metazoan signal recognition particle RNA (ENSPANG00000037406.1)
Source: Rfam by way of RNAcentral
GCCGGGCGAGGUGGUGGGCGCCUGUAGUCCCAGCUACUCGGGAGGCUGAGGCAGGAGAAUGGCGUGAACCUGGGAGGCGGAGCUUGCAGUGAGCUGAGAUCCGGCCACUACACUCCAGCCUGGGAGACAGAGUGAGACUCCGUCUCAAAAAAAAAAAAAAAAAAGAGAUGGAGUCUCACUCAGUCACCCAGGUUGGAGUGCAGUGGUGCGAUCUCAGCUCACUGCAAGCUAUGCCUCCUGGGUUCACACCAUUCUCCUGCCUCAG